AUUGAACGCUGGCGGCAUGCCUUACACAUGCAAGUCGAACGGCAGCACGGGAGCAAUCCUGGUGGCGAGUGGCGAACGGGUGAGUAAUACAUCGGAACGUGCCCAGUAGUGGGGGAUAACCCGGCGAAAGCCGGACUAAUACCGCAUACGACCUACGGGUGAAAGCGGGGGAUCGCAAGACCUCGCGCUAUCGGAGCGGCCGAUGUCAGAUUAGCUAGUUGGUGGGGAAAAGCCCACCAAGGCGACGAUCUGUAGCUGGUCUGAGAGGACGACCAGCCACACUGGGACUGAGACACGGCCCAGACUCCUACGGGAGGCAGCAGUGGGGAAUUUUGGACAAUGGGCGCAAGCCUGAUCCAGCCAUGCCGCGUGCGGGAAGAAGGCC
This 385-nucleotide ribosomal RNA is filed under the name uncultured bacterium. RNAcentral's name for it is "bacterial SSU rRNA". It matches the Rfam family "Bacterial small subunit ribosomal RNA", at positions 29 to 416 of the family's 1533-position model. The record is from RNAcentral.